RNAcentral lists this ribosomal RNA (474 nucleotides) under uncultured Proteiniphilum sp. RNAcentral describes it as "bacterial SSU rRNA". It matches the Rfam family "Bacterial small subunit ribosomal RNA", at positions 910 to 1382 of the family's 1533-position model. Lineage: Bacteria; Pseudomonadati; Bacteroidota; Bacteroidia; Bacteroidales; Dysgonomonadaceae. The record is from RNAcentral.
UUGACGGGGGCCCGCACAAGCGGAGGAACAUGUGGUUUAAUUCGAUGAUACGCGAGGAACCUUACCCGGGCUUGAAAUGCAUCUGACCGGCCUUGAAAGAGGUUUUUCCCCUUCGGGGCAGAUGUGUAGGUGCUGCAUGGUUGUCGUCAGCUCGUGCCGUGAGGUGUCGGCUUAAGUGCCAUAACGAGCGCAACCCUCAUCAUUAGUUACCAUCAGGUAAGGCUGGGGACUCUAAUGAGACUGCCAUCGUAAGAUGUGAGGAAGGUGGGGAUGACGUCAAAUCAGCACGGCCCUUACGUCCGGGGCGACACACGUGUUACAAUGGGUGGUACAAAGGGCAGCUACCUGGCGACAGGAUGCUAAUCUCCAAAACCACUCUCAGUUCGGAUCGGAGUCUGCAACUCGACUCCGUGAAGCUGGAUUCGCUAGUAAUCGCGCAUCAGCCACGGCGCGGUGAAUACGUUCCCGGGCCUU